Molecule: ribosomal RNA, 301 nt
Filed under: uncultured bacterium
Lineage: Bacteria
Description: partial 16S ribosomal RNA
Rfam family: Bacterial small subunit ribosomal RNA
Source: RNAcentral
CAGUCGCCACGGGAAUACGGAGGGAGCUAGCGUUGUUCGGAAUCACUGGGCGUAAAGCGCACGUAGGCGGCUUUGUAAGUUAGAGGUGAAAGCCUGGAGCUCAACUCCAGAAUUGCCUUUAAGACUGCAUCGCUUGAAUCCAGGAGAGGUGAGUGGAAUUCCGAGUGUAGAGGUGAAAUUCGUAGAUAUUCGGAAGAACACCAGUGGCGAAGGCGGCUCACUGGACUGGUAUUGACGCUGAGGUGCGAAAGCGUGGGGAGCAAACAGGAUUAGAUACCCCAGUAGUCCCUGUCUCUUAUAC